GACGAACGCUGGCGGCGUGCUUAACACAUGCAAGUCGAACGGUAAGGCCCUUCGGGGUACACGAGUGGCGAACGGGUGAGUAACACGUGGGUGAUCUGCCCUGCACUUCGGGAUAAGCCUGGGAAACUGGGUCCAAUACCGGAUAGGACCACUGCCUGCAUGGGUGGUGGUGGAAAGCUUUUGCGGUGUGGGAUGGGCCCGCGGCCUCUCAGCUUGUUGGUGGGGUGAUGGCCUACCAAGGCGACGACGGGUAGCCGGCGUGAGAGGGUGACCGGCCACACUGGGACUGAGAUACGGCCAAGACUCCUACGGGAUGCAGCAGGGGGGAAUAUUGCACAAUGGGCGCAAGCCUGAUGCAGCGACGCCGCGUGAGGGAUGACGGCCUUCGGGUUGUAAACCUCUUUCAGCACCGACGAAGCGCAAGUGACGGUAGGUGCAGAAGAAGGACCGGCCAACUACGUGCCAGCCGCCGCAGUAA
This 478-nucleotide ribosomal RNA is filed under the name uncultured bacterium. Its description in RNAcentral is "partial 16S ribosomal RNA". It matches the Rfam family "Bacterial small subunit ribosomal RNA", at positions 28 to 523 of the family's 1533-position model. The record is from RNAcentral.